AUGGAACAACCAGAUGGGUUUGUAAUAGAUGGUCAGGAAGGGAAAGUGUGCAAGUUGUUGAAGUCUUUGUAUGGACUCAAGCAAGCACCCAAACGGUGGCAUGAGAAGUUCGAAAGAACUUUAACAGCUGCAGGCUUUGUUGUGAACGAAGCUGACAAAUGUGUGUACUAUCGCCAUGGUGGAACAAAUCUGAAUGUUAUUAAGGAGGUCAAGGAUUUCCUAUCUCGUUGUUUUGAGAUGAAGGAUUUAGGAGUGGCUGAUGUCAUUCUGAACAUCAAGUUGUUGAGAGACGAUGAUGGUGGGAUUACAUUGCUUCAAUCCCACUAUGUGGAAAAGAUCUUGAGUCGCUUUGGCUAUAGCGACUACGAGCCCUCUCCAACACCAUAUGAUGCUAGCGUGCUGCUUCGAAAGAAUCGAAGAAUUGCUAGAGAUCAAUUGAAGUAUUCUCAGAUUAUUGGCUCGCUUAUGUACUUAGCUAGUGCUACAAGACCUGACAUCUCUUUUGCUGUUAGCAAACUGAGUCGGUUUGUCUCAAAACCAGGAGAUGUGCAUUGGAAAGCUCUAGAGAGAGUUUUGCAUUAUUUGAAAGGCACUGCGAAUUAUGGAAUUCACUACACCGGGCACCCAAAGGUGCUUGAAGGGUAUAGUGACUCAAACUGGAUCUCAGAUGCUGAUGAGAUAAAGGCCACGAGCGGAUAUGUAUUCACUCAUGGAGGUGGCGCUGUUUCUUGGAAGUCUUGCAAGCAGACCAUCUUAACGAGGUCAACAAUGGAAGCAGAACUCACAGCACUAGAUACAGCUACGGUCGAAGCAGAUUGGCUUCGUCGGCUCUUGAAUGACUUGCCGGUAGUUGAGAAAUAUGUACCGGAUCCUUUUACUAAGGGUCUAUCACGU
This 894-nucleotide ribosomal RNA is filed under the name Triticum aestivum (bread wheat). RNAcentral describes it as "partial small subunit ribosomal RNA". Lineage: Eukaryota; Viridiplantae; Streptophyta; Magnoliopsida; Poales; Poaceae. The record is from RNAcentral.